AUUGAACGCUGGCGGCAGGCCUAACACAUGCAAGUCGAGCGGAUGAAGGGAGCUUGCUCCUGGAUUCAGCGGCGGACGGGUGAGUAAUGCCUAGGAAUCUGCCUGGUAGUGGGGGAUAACGUCCGGAGACGGGCGCUAAUACCGCAUACGUCCUGAGGGAGAAAGUGGGGGUCUUCGGACCUCACGCUAUUAGAUUAACCCAGGUCGGAUUAGCUAGUUGGUGGGGUAAAGGCCUACCAAGGCGACGAUCCGUAACUGGUCUGAGAGGAUGAUCAGUCACACUGGAACUGAGACACGGUCCAGACUCCUACGGGAGGCAGCAGUGGGGAAUAUUGGACAAUGGGCGAAAGCCUGAUCCAGCCAUGCCGCGUGUGUGAAGAAGGUCUUCGGAUUGUAAAGCACUUUAAGUUGGGAGGAAGGGCAGUAAGUUAAUACCUUGCUGUUUUGACGUUACCAACAGAAUAAGCACCGGCUAACUUCGUG
Molecule: ribosomal RNA, 483 nt
Filed under: uncultured bacterium
Lineage: Bacteria
Description: partial 16S ribosomal RNA
Rfam family: Bacterial small subunit ribosomal RNA
Source: RNAcentral